This 1411-nucleotide ribosomal RNA is filed under the name Francisella orientalis. RNAcentral's name for it is "Francisella noatunensis subsp. orientalis 16S ribosomal RNA". It matches the Rfam family "Bacterial small subunit ribosomal RNA". Lineage: Bacteria; Pseudomonadati; Pseudomonadota; Gammaproteobacteria; Thiotrichales; Francisellaceae. The record is from RNAcentral.
AGUCGAACGGUAACAGGUCUUCGGAUGCUGACGAGUGGCGGACGGGUGAGUAACGCGUAGGAAUCUGCCCAUCUGUGGGGGAUACCAGUUGGAAACGACUGUUAAUACCGCAUAAUAUCUGCGGAUUAAAGGUGGCCUUUGCGCUGCCGCAGAUGGAUGAGCCUGCGUUGGAUUAGCUAGUUGGUGGGGUAAGGGCCUACCAAGGCUACGAUCCAUAGCUGAUUUGAGAGGAUGAUCAGCCACAUUGGGACUGAGACACGGCCCAAACUCCUACGGGAGGCAGCAGUGGGGAAUAUUGGACAAUGGGGGAAACCCUGAUCCAGCAAUGCCAUGUGUGUGAAGAAGGCUCUAGGGUUGUAAAGCACUUUAGUUGGGGAGGAAAGCCUGUGAGUUAAUAGCUUGCAGGAAGGACGUUGCCCAAAGAAUAAGGACCGGCUAACUCCGUGCCAGCAGCCGCGGUAAUACGGGGGGUCCGAGCGUUAAUCGGAAUUACUGGGCGUAAAGGGUCUGUAGGUGGUUUGUUAAGUCAGAUGUGAAAGCCCAGGGCUCAACCUUGGAACUGCAUUUGAUACUGACAAACUAGAGUAUGGUAGAGGAAUAGGGAACUUCUGGUGUAGCGGUGAAAUGCGUAGAGAUCAGAAGGAACACCAAUGGCGAAGGCAACAUUCUGGACCAAUACUGACACUGAGGGACGAAAGCGUGGGGAUCAAACAGGAUUAGAUACCCUGGUAGUCCACGCUGUAAACGAUGAGUACUAGCUGUUGGAUUCGGUGUAAAGGAUCUAGUGGCGCAGCUAACGCGUUAAGUACUCCGCCUGGGGACUACGGCCGCAAGGCUAAAACUCAAAGGAAUUGACGGGGACCCGCACAAGCGGUGGAGCAUGUGGUUUAAUUCGAUGCAACGCGAAGAACCUUACCUGGUCUUGACAUCCUGCGAACUUUCUAGAGAUAGAUUGGUGCCUUCGGGAACGCAGUGACAGGUGCUGCACGGCUGUCGUCAGCUCGUGUUGUGAAAUGUUGGGUUAAGUCCCGCAACGAGCGCAACCCCUAUUGAUAGUUACCAUCAUUAAGUUGGGUACUCUAUUGAGACUGCCGCUGACAAGGCGGAGGAAGGUGGGGACGACGUCAAGUCAUCAUGGCCCUUACGACCAGGGCUACACACGUGCUACAAUGGGUAUUACAGAGGGCUGCGAAGGUGCGAGCUGGAGCGAAACUCAGAAAGGUACUCUUAGUCCGGAUUGCAGUCUGCAACUCGACUGCAUGAAGUCGGAAUCGCUAGUAAUCGCAGGUCAGAAUACUGCGGUGAAUACGUUCCCGGGUCUUGUACACACCGCCCGUCACACCAUGGGAGUGGGUUGCUCCAGAAGUAGAUAGCUUAACGAAUGGGCGUUUACCACGGAGUGAUUCAUAAC